GAUGAACGCUGGCGGCGUGCUUAACACAUGCAAGUCGAACGGUGAAGCCAAGCUUGCUUGGUGGAUCAGUGGCGAACGGGUGAGUAACACGUGAGCAACCUGCCCUGGACUCUGGGAUAAGCGCUGGAAACGGCGUCUAAUACUGGAUAUGAGACGUGAUCGCAUGGUCAACGUUUGGAAAGAUUUUUCGGUCUGGGAUGGGCUCGCGGCCUAUCAGCUUGUUGGUGAGGUAAUGGCUCACCAAGGCGUCGACGGGUAGCCGGCCUGAGAGGGUGACCGGCCCAACUGGGACUGAGACACGGCCCAGACUCCUACGGGAGGGAGCAGUGGGGAAUAUUGCACAAUGGGCGGAAGCCUGAUGCAGCAACGCCGCGUGAGGGAUGACGGCCUUCGGGUUGUAAACCUCUUUUAGCAGGGAAGAAGCGAAAGUGACGGUACCUGCAGAAAAAGCGCCGGCUAACUACGUGCCAGCCGCCGCGGUAA
This 483-nucleotide ribosomal RNA is filed under the name uncultured bacterium. RNAcentral's name for it is "partial 16S ribosomal RNA". It matches the Rfam family "Bacterial small subunit ribosomal RNA", at positions 28 to 523 of the family's 1533-position model. The record is from RNAcentral.